AAAGCUGCCCAGCCUUUUGGCUAAGAUUGAGUGUAAUAUCUGUUCUUAUCAGUUUAAUAUCUGAUAUGACCCCUAUCCCAGGAUAAUAUAUUAAAUGGACUUUUGGAAAUAGGAGAUAGAUCCAGGCACAGUGGCACGUACCUGAAAUCCCAGUGGCUUGGGAGGCUGAGACUGGAAGAUAGCAAUAUCAAAGCCAGUCUCAGCAACUUAG
Molecule: small nuclear RNA, 211 nt
Filed under: Sciurus vulgaris (Eurasian red squirrel)
Lineage: Eukaryota; Metazoa; Chordata; Mammalia; Rodentia; Sciuridae
Description: U2 spliceosomal RNA (ENSSVLG00005011556.1)
Rfam family: U2 spliceosomal RNA
About the family: U2 is a small nuclear RNA (snRNA) component of the spliceosome (involved in pre-mRNA splicing).
Source: Rfam by way of RNAcentral